UUCAUUGUUAAGAAGGAUUCGGUGGGCAUAUUUCUAUCUCACACUAAGCCGGGAAAUUAAAAAACGCUGGAAAUC
Molecule: transfer RNA, 75 nt
Filed under: Inga splendens
Lineage: Eukaryota; Viridiplantae; Streptophyta; Magnoliopsida; Fabales; Fabaceae
Description: tRNA-Tyr
Source: RNAcentral